UUUGAAUACAGGUGUGAGGUUGCAGUAACCUAAUAAGACCAAAAUCAUUUGAUUUUUUUUUUCUUUUUUUUCCAUGUCUGUCCUGUCUGAACUUCGGUGACUCUUCACAAAAUAGUACGCACUUCUGGGGCCCAGUAGCCAACUGGGGUCUUCCCAUUGCUGCCAUCAAUGAUAUGAAAAAGUCUCCAGAGAUUAUCAGUGGGCGGAUGACGUUUGCCCUCUGUUGCUAUUCUUUGACAUUCAUGAGAUUUGCCUACAAGGUACAGCCUCGGAACUGGCUUCUGUUUGCAUGCCACGCAACAAAUGAAGUAGCCCAGCUCAUCCAGGGAGGGCGGCUUAUCAAACACGAGAUGACUAAAAAGGCAUCUGCAUAACAAUGGAAAAUGAAGAACAAGGUCUUGAAGGGACAGCAUUGCCAGCUGCUGCUGAGUCACAGAUUUCAUUAUAAAUAGCCUCCCUAAGGAAAAUACACUGAAUGCUAUUUUUACUAACCAUUCUAUUUUUAUAGAAAUAGCUGAGAGUUUCUAAACCAACUCUCUGCUGCCUUACAAGUAUUAAAUAUUUUACUUCUUU
RNAcentral lists this small RNA (573 nucleotides) under Pan troglodytes (chimpanzee). RNAcentral describes it as "retained intron". The record is from RNAcentral. Lineage: Eukaryota; Metazoa; Chordata; Mammalia; Primates; Hominidae.